AUAAAGUUUGAAUAAAAAAAUGUUAAUUUUUUUAAAAAGAAUUAUAAUAACUAUAUUUAAGAAUUAAUCUUCAAUUAAAAAUAAAAAAAUUUUUUAUUAAAAUAUCUUUCAAAUAAAAUUAUAUUUAAAAUUACUUAGAAAUUAAUUAUGUUAAAAUUAGUAUAAAAUAUUAUGUUAAUUUAAGGAACUCGGCUUUCAUCUGUUUAUCAAAAACAUAGUCUUAUGAAAAUAUAAGGUGUAACCUGCCCACUGGUUUUAAAUGGCCGCAGUACUUUGACUGUGCUAAGGUAGCAUAAUAAAUUGACUUUUAAUUGGGGCCUUGAAUGAAAGGAUUAAUGGAUAAUUUCUGUCUUUAAUAAAUAAAUUUAAAUUUACUUAGAAGGUGAAAAUUCCUUUAAUUUAAUAUAAUAGACGAGAAGACCCUAGGAGUUAUUUUGUUGGGGCGACAAUAUAGCAUAACCUAUAUAUUUUUAAUAACGAAAAAUUUUAAUAAUAAUUUAACUACCCUAGGGAUAACAGCAUAAUUUUAAUUAAAGUUUGUGACCUCGAUGUUGGACUAGGAACUUUUAAAGCUAACAGCGUUAA
Molecule: ribosomal RNA, 585 nt
Filed under: Peloparion helenae
Lineage: Eukaryota; Metazoa; Mollusca; Gastropoda; Stylommatophora; Helicarionidae
Description: partial large subunit ribosomal RNA
Rfam family: Archaeal large subunit ribosomal RNA (bases 197-338)
Source: RNAcentral